CUCACCAUGAUGAUUUGAAUACCGCCCCAGUCUGAUGACUGAAGAAAGGUAUUUACUGAGUUGUG
Small nucleolar RNA from Meriones unguiculatus (Mongolian gerbil), 65 nucleotides. The record is from Ensembl. NCBI's taxonomy places the organism in Eukaryota, Metazoa, Chordata, Mammalia, Rodentia, Muridae.